GAUGAACGCUGGCGGCGUGCCUAAUACAUGCAAGUCGAGCGAACAGACGAGGAGCUUGCUCCUCUGACGUUAGCGGCGGACGGGUGAGUAACACGUGGAUAACCUACCUAUAAGACUGGGAUAACUUCGGGAAACCGGAGCUAAUACCGGAUAAUAUAUUGAACCGCAUGGUUCAAUAGUGAAAGACGGUUUUGCUGUCACUUAUAGAUGGAUCCGCGCCGCAUUAGCUAGUUGGUAAGGUAACGGCUUACCAAGGCAACGAUGCGUAGCCGACCUGAGAGGGUGAGCGGCCACCCUGGAACUGAGACACGGUCCAGACUCCUACGGGAGGCAGCAGUAGGGAAUCUUCCGCAAUGGGCGAGAGCCUGACGGAGCAACGCCGCGUGAGUGAUGAAGGUCUUCGGAUCGUAAAACUCUGUUAUUAGGGAAGAACAAAUGUGUAAGUAACUAUGCACGUCUUGACGGUACCUAAUCAGAAAGCCACGGCUAACUACGUG
RNAcentral lists this ribosomal RNA (497 nucleotides) under uncultured bacterium. RNAcentral's name for it is "partial 16S ribosomal RNA". It matches the Rfam family "Bacterial small subunit ribosomal RNA", at positions 28 to 507 of the family's 1533-position model. The record is from RNAcentral.